RNAcentral lists this ribosomal RNA (253 nucleotides) under uncultured bacterium. Its description in RNAcentral is "partial 16S ribosomal RNA". It matches the Rfam family "Bacterial small subunit ribosomal RNA", at positions 524 to 776 of the family's 1533-position model. The record is from RNAcentral.
UACGUAGGGGGCAAGCGUUGUCCGGAUUUAUUGGGCGUAAAGAGCGUGUAGGCGGCCUUACAGGUCAGCUGUGAAAACUCGAGGCUCAACCUCGAGACGUCGGUUGAAACCGUAAGGCUAGAGUCCGGAAGAGGAGAGUGGAAUUCCCGGUGUAGCGGUGAAAUGCGCAGAUAUCGGGAAGAACACCCGUGGCGAAGGCGGCAUCCUGGACCGGCAUUGACGCUGAGGCGCGAAAGCUAGGGGAGCAAACGGG